UGUGCUGCGAGCGGCGCGAGCCUCUGGCAGCGGGCUCGGCCUUUGCUCGCAGCACUCG
This 58-nucleotide microRNA precursor is filed under the name Homo sapiens (human). RNAcentral's name for it is "miAB33_pre". The record is from RNAcentral. Lineage: Eukaryota; Metazoa; Chordata; Mammalia; Primates; Hominidae.